CCUACGGGUGGCAGCAGUGAGGAAUAUUGGUCAAUGGGCGAGAGCCUGAACCAGCCAAGUCGCGUGAAGGAAGAAGGUUCUAUGGAUUGUAAACUUCUUUUAUCGGGGAAUAAAAUGCGGCACGUGUUCCUUUCCGUAUGUACCCUAUGAAUAAGCAUCGGCUAACUCCGUGCCAGCAGCCGCGGUAAUACGGAGGAUGCGAGCGUUAUCCGGAUUUAUUGGGUUUAAAGGGUGCGUAGGUGGAUAAUCAAGUCAGCGGUAAAAAUUCGAGGCUCAACCCCGUCGUGCCGUUGAAACUGGUGUUCUUGAGUGAGCGAGAAGUAUGCGGAAUGCGUGGUGUAGCGGUGAAAUGCAUAGAUAUCACGCAGAACUCCGAUUGCGAAGGCAGCAUACCGGCGCCCAACUGACGCUGAAGCACGAAAGCGUGGGUAUCGAACAGGAUUAGAUACCCGAGUAGUC
RNAcentral lists this ribosomal RNA (459 nucleotides) under uncultured bacterium. RNAcentral describes it as "partial 16S ribosomal RNA". It matches the Rfam family "Bacterial small subunit ribosomal RNA", at positions 338 to 795 of the family's 1533-position model. The record is from RNAcentral.